GACGAACGCUGGCGGCGUGCUUAACACAUGCAAGUCGAACGGAAAGGCCCCCACCUUGGUGGGGGUGCUCGAGUGGCGAACGGGUGAGUAACACGUGGGUGAUCUGCCCUGUACUUCGGGAUAAGCUUGGGAAACUGGGUCUAAUACCGGAUAGGACCAUGGUUUAGUGUCUCAUGGUGGAAAAAUUAUUGUUUUGGUGCAGGAUGAGCUCGCGGCCUAUCAGCUUGUUGGUGGGGUAAUGGCCUACCAAGGCGUCGACGGGUAGCCGGCCUGAGAGGGUGGACGGCCACAUUGGGACUGAGAUACGGCCCAGACUCGUACGGGAGGCAGCGGUGGGGAAUAUUGCACAAUGGGCGCAAGCCUGAUGCAGCGACGCCGCGUGAGGGAUGACGGCCUUCGGGUUGUAAACUCCUUUCGUUAGGGACGAAGCCACACCUUUUUUGGGUGUGGUGACGGUACCUUUGUUAAGAAGCACCGGCUAACUACGUG
This 489-nucleotide ribosomal RNA is filed under the name uncultured bacterium. Its description in RNAcentral is "partial 16S ribosomal RNA". It matches the Rfam family "Bacterial small subunit ribosomal RNA", at positions 28 to 507 of the family's 1533-position model. The record is from RNAcentral.